RNAcentral lists this ribosomal RNA (416 nucleotides) under uncultured bacterium. RNAcentral's name for it is "partial 16S ribosomal RNA". It matches the Rfam family "Bacterial small subunit ribosomal RNA", at positions 356 to 762 of the family's 1533-position model. The record is from RNAcentral.
UGGGAAUUUUGGACGAAUUGGGGGCAACCGUGAUCCAGCAAUGCCGCGUGUGUGAAGAAGGCCUUCGGGUUGUAAAGCACUUUUGUCCGGAAAGAAAACGCCGUGGUUAAUACCCGUGGCGGAUGACGGUACCGGAAGAAUAAGCACCGGCUAACUACGUGCCAGCAGCCGCGGUAAUACGUAGGGUGCAAGCGUUAAUCGGAAUUACUGGGCGUAAAGCGUGCGCAGGCGGUCCGCUAAGACAGAUGUGAAAUCCCCGGGCUUAACCUGGGAACUGCAUUUGUGACUGGCGGGCUAGAGUAUGGCAGAGGGGGGUAGAAUUCCACGUGUAGCAGUGAAAUGCGUAGAGAUGUGGAGGAAUACCGAUGGCGAAGGCAGCCCCCUGGGCCAAUACUGACGCUCAUGCACGAAAGCGU